GGUUUGUGGAAGGUCAGUUCCAGUCUUUGGCAUUGCAGAGUGCAGACAGUAAUGUCCAGCCUCUUGUCAGUUGCUCUACAUGGGAAGAGGACUGCAGCUCUGAGAAGGAGGUGGAGAGUUCCUGGCACCAUGUGGAGAAAUGCUGCCUGGAGAAGUACUUCAUCAUCUGGUCCACUCGAACUCAGCAACUCACAAAGGCCCAGCAGCACUGCAGGCUUCUUCAGCUGUCUCGAGCCUUUCUCAGAUGGCACCGCUGUGCUGUGGAGAACAAGAACCAAGAAGUAGCAGCAGCCCUUAAAUACCAAUUUAAUUGCUGCCGGAUGGCUUUCAGCUUGUGGAAGAAGAGACUGGCCCAGAAAGUGGAAGCUGACCAGAGAUUCAGGAGUCACCUCCACCAGAUGACUGCUGAUGCUCUUCGGCGUUGGCAUUCCUACUGUCAAAGGAAGUGUAACAUGAAGGAGCUGCAGCAGAGAUGGGCUCAGCAUAGCUGCCAGGAGAAGAAGAGAUUGAUCCUGCAGACGUGGCGCUGCCAAACAAGGCAGCUGAAAAACGCUGCUUUAUUCUGGGAGCGUCUCCUCCUGCACAGGUGUAUAGUCAUCUGGGCCCAGGUCACUGCCUGCUCACUGAGGCAGCAAGAAGCCCUCUGUUAUUUUAGAAGGAUCAGAGAGAACCAUCUUCUGAAAGUGAGUUUUGCAGAAUGGAGAGUGAAGUUCUUGACAGCUAAACAGCAGUUGCUGGAAGAAGAGAAAAACCAGACGUGGCGUGGAUGUUCUCAAGCUAAAGCCUGUCAGCGCUGGCGAUUGGCCUCAAGGGGACAGCAAGCCCUACACUUGGGAUCCGUGGCCACUGUGAAACAGGCCUGCAACUAUUGGACAAAAGCAGCUGCCUUUUCCCAGUGCUCACGGCAAUGCAGCACCCUGAUAGGCGCUAGGAAGAGCAAGAAGAUGUCGUUGUCUUUGUCCAUGAAAAGGAGAGGAUGCAGAGAGAAAGGUUCAGCUCCAGCUGCAUCCCUUGGGUUUUUUCCCAGUGCUGUUCACCGCUGGCUGGUGAUCUACAGAAGCCAAAGGAGGACUGAAAGGCUGCUGCUCCCUCAACAGCUAGAGGGGCAUGAUUUGGUAGGACCUGUCCCUGGGCAUGCCAGGAUCCAGGAGGACAAAGCAGAGGUGGACUCUGAUGAGUGGAAUGACAAUUGGCUUGGGAGGAAGUAUCUGAGGUGGUGGCAUCACACGGUGACGCUGCGCCGGUGCCAGCGUGCCAGGAGGCUGCACAGUCUGGCAAGGGGUUGGCAGCAGUGGAAAGAAGCCAGCAGGGUGGUGAUGCUGGCACAGAUGUUGGACCAGCAGCGGCUGAUAGAAAAGGCCUGGAGAGCAUGGAGACGUCGGUAUUUACAAAGCUGUGUAGUGCAGAGGUUUUUGGAGGUUGAAGCCAGGAGCCUAUUGUCUGAGGCAUUUGGAAGAUGGCGUCAGCUCACAGCGUUCCAACUCAAGGACAGAGGACACUGCUGAAUGGUGGGCAGCUGCCUGCAGCUGCUUAUUUUGGGAGUGGAGGAUACAGCUGGCAGUCACAACAAAGAGCUGGUCUCUUGCAAUCAAGAAAGCAGUGCAUGAUCUACCUGUGUGAUUAAAAACAGUGCUGCAGGCCCAAAGCAUGGUGAUAGCCAAAGGCCAACCAGGAGGAAGGGGAAGCCAGAGAAAGGUCUUAUUUAAAGGACUGAUAUUCUGCCUCCCUACUGCCACAAACUUGAGAACUUACUUAAUGGCUUUUGUUGUGAGGUUGCAUUCCCUUUUCUGCUAGAGUCUGAUUUUGUUGGAGUUCUGAUUAAAAGCCCUAUAAAGUAUUUUUUGACGUCCCCUAACUAAUUU
Molecule: long non-coding RNA, 1862 nt
Organism: Chrysolophus pictus (golden pheasant)
Lineage: Eukaryota; Metazoa; Chordata; Aves; Galliformes; Phasianidae
Source: Ensembl